RNAcentral lists this ribosomal RNA (429 nucleotides) under uncultured bacterium. RNAcentral's name for it is "bacterial SSU rRNA". It matches the Rfam family "Bacterial small subunit ribosomal RNA", at positions 355 to 775 of the family's 1533-position model. The record is from RNAcentral.
UGGGGAAUAUUGGGCAAUGGGCGCAAGCCUGACCCAGCGACGCCGCGUGGGUGAUGAAGGCCUUCGGGUCGUAAAGCCCUGUCGGGUGGAAAGAAAGGUCUUUAGGCAAAUAGUCUAGAGACGUGACGGUACCACCGAAGGAAGCACCGGCCAAUUCCGUGCCAGCAGCCGCGGUAAGACGGAAGGUGCAAGCGUUGCUCGGAAUCACUGGGCGUAAAGGGUGCGUAGGCGGCCUGGUAAGUCUGGCGUGAAAGCCCAGGGCUCAGCCCUGGAAGUGCGCUAGAAACUGCGAGGCUGGAGUGCCGGAGGGGAGAGUGGAAUUCCUGGUGUAGCGGUGAAAUGCGUAGAUAUCAGGAGGAAUACCGGUGGCGAAAGCGACUCUCUGGACGGCAACUGACGCUGAGGCACGAAAGCGUGGGGAGCAAACAG